This 460-nucleotide ribosomal RNA is filed under the name uncultured bacterium. RNAcentral describes it as "partial 16S ribosomal RNA". It matches the Rfam family "Bacterial small subunit ribosomal RNA", at positions 340 to 795 of the family's 1533-position model. The record is from RNAcentral.
AAGACGGGAGGCAGAAGGGAGGAAGAGGGGGGAAGGGAAGGAAGUCUGAACCAGCCACGCCGCGUGCAGGAAGACGGCUCUAUGAGUUGUAAACUGCUUUUGUACAAGGGUAAACCUGAAUACGUGUAUUCAGCUGAAAGUACUGUACGAAUAAGGAUCGGCUAACUCCGUGCCAGCAGCCGCGGUAAUACGGAGGAUCCAAGCGUUAUCCGGAUUUAUUGGGUUUAAAGGGUGCGUAGGCGGAUUGAUAAGUUAGAGGUGAAAUGUCCGAGCUUAACUCGGGAACUGCCUCUAAUACUGUUGAUCUAGAGAGUAGAUGCGGUAGGCGGAAUGUAUGGUGUAGCGGUGAAAUGCUUAGAGAUCAUACAGAACACCGAUUGCGAAGGCAGCUUACCAAUCUAUAUCUGACGUUGAGGCACGAAAGCGUGGGGAGCAAACAGGAUUAGAUACCCGAGUAGUC